GAGAGGGGUGUGGGGAGCCCACGGGGUGGAAGGGGCUCCUGGGGAAUCCCCCUCAGCCCUCCCCACAACUUCCCUCCCAAGGUGGCCAGAGCCCUGGCUGUCACUCGCCCUGGGUGUCCAGCAGGGAACGGGACCCCACCACCCCUGAUCUUCCAGAGGCCAGGCUCUGUUUGGGGACCCUCCCAGGAGCCCCCACCUGUCCCUCAGUACACUCCAGUGAGGCUGCAGAGCCCUGGCUCGCAAGUGGCAGGGAGGUCCCUGCAGGAGCCCCCGUCCCUGCAGGGCUACGCUCUGCACUCAUCUGUCUCUGAAGACAAAGUCCAGGCACCAGCCUGUCCCUCAGGACUCUGGCUGCUCCUGGAGGAGCCUUCAGCCCCAGGGUCACCACUCUGCAUCUGGGCCUUUCCUCCACGAGCCCUCGCUCCCCUUCCUAGGUGCGCCACCUCCACUGCCUGCCCCUCCUCCUAGGGACCAGUGUCUCUGUUUGGGCUUAGAGUCAAAAUCAUAAGGGGCAUAGUGCUCAUCCAGCCACGCUCUGGCAGGCCUCCCACCUCUGCCAGCUGGCAGCAGUGGACAGGGGUGAGGCCAUCCCCACCUGCCCUCAGGCAAGUGUCUCUCAGUUGAGCUCUUAGUCCCCAGGAUAGGAGGAGGCAGAGAUGUCUGCAAAUCUCUGUCCUGGACACUAGAGCUGGCAGGAACUUGGGGAGCAAGAGGUGGCCAAGCUGGCCAUCUGGACAGAGACCCAUCCAGGGGAGGAAUGACUAGGGCAAGGAGGCUGUGCCAGGGCCCCAGUGCCUCCAACUGUCACACCCAGGAGUCUCUUACCCAGUUCACAGUGGGCUCCCUCAUAGCCUCUGCUGCAGAGGCACAGGUACCCGGCAACGUGGUCCUGGCAGGAGCCCCCAUGCAGGCAUGGCUGAGACCGACACUCGUCCACUUCUGAGGGAGGAAGACCCCAAGAAUAAAGCCAUGUGCCCUUAGUUAAGCCAAGUUCAGAUGAACACAAACUAGUGCUGAGGGUUCAGAGUCCAUGACACCCUGUAGUUCUUGGAAAGGCCAACACCAGGGGCCAAGCCCCUCGGAGGGAGGGGCAGGUUGUAGCCCCAGGACUCAGAGCCUGGCCACGGCUAUGAAAUUAUGGGGAUGAUCAUGGUCAUCUUAAGGGCUCACGGAAGACACUGCGGAUUUAAUUCCAAUUUUGGAUAGGUCCAAAACACACGAGGUUUGGCAGAAAAUGUUCCGUGUCAAAUUUUGCCAUUUCAGUAUACAACAGUCCUGUGUGAAACCAGUGUAUUUGGAGGCCAAUCUGGUUCUGUGUGGUGAAUCUGUAUGGUGAAUCUUUUAAACUGGGAGUUGUGCUCCUGAGUUCAGAUGUUCAAUCUGAGGAAAGUCUAAUGUCAACACCUACAAAGCGAGUGAGCAGGAACGGCCUGGGGGGCCGGAGCCAGCACCCGCCUGGGAGCUGGGCGCUCUGUGCCCUCGCACUUGGGCUUCCUCCCUCCUCAUGGAACUGGCUUGCAACAUUUUGACGGUGGUCUCUGCGGUGUGUGACCACCUCAGACUCAUCCUUCCUUGUCUGGUGGACACUCGUGUUGGUUCCAGACUAUGGCAAUGACAGCAGAUGCUGCAGCAAGUACCCCACCUGCCCCCAGUAUAGAUGUGCAAGUGUCUCCAGAUUUCCCCCAAGCUGGGUCGCUGAGGUUAGCUCAACAGGCCAGUCACCACAUCCAAGUGCUCAUACUGACUUCCUCUCAUCCCGCCAGCCAUCUGCAAAACACCGCUGGCCCACAUUCUCACCAAGACAGGCUUCUUAGACUUCGGAAUUUUGCCAACAGAAUGUCUCGUUGUACUUCUGAUUUGCAUUUUCCUAAUUACUAAUGAAGUCGACUUUUCAUGUUCGUUGUCCACGUGUCUCUUCUUCCACCACAGGCCUGUUUGUGUGUCCUGCCUGUUUCCAUACUGGUUGAUUGUUCUCUCCUAUGGACACAUUGGCAUUUUUCACACCAUCUUGAAACAGCUCCUCAUCAGUGCGCAUGUGUGCUGGCAUGUGCCUCUGUACCCUCUUGAGGUUCCAGCUGACGUUUCACUUCUCACUUAAGUUCCUAGUUCUUGCAGGAACAAGUUAGUCCAUUCAUUUCUUUUAUAAGUGCAUUUUGUGGCUUUCCUUAACCAAAAGUAAAAAAGAUAUUUACCUAUA
Molecule: long non-coding RNA, 2197 nt
Organism: Marmota monax (woodchuck)
Lineage: Eukaryota; Metazoa; Chordata; Mammalia; Rodentia; Sciuridae
Exons: 2
Source: RefSeq, a predicted model, not a curated record